This 380-nucleotide ribosomal RNA is filed under the name uncultured eukaryote. RNAcentral's name for it is "partial 18S ribosomal RNA". It matches the Rfam family "Eukaryotic small subunit ribosomal RNA", at positions 592 to 976 of the family's 1831-position model. The record is from RNAcentral.
CAACAGCGUAUAUUAAAGUUGUUGCAGUUAAAACGCUCGUAGUCGGAUUUCGGGGCGGGCGGGCCGGUCUGCCGAUGGGUAUGCACUGGUCUGGCCGUCCUUCCUUCCGGAGACCGUGCGUGUUCUUAACUGAGUGCGCUCGGGAGACGGAUCGUUUACUUUGAAAAAAUCAGAGUGUUUCAAGCAGGCAGCUCGCUCUUGCAUGGAUUAGCAUGGGAUAAUGAAAUAGGACUUUGGUGCUAUUUUGUUGGUUUCGAACACCGAAGUAAUGAUUAACAGGGACAGUCAGGGGCACUCGUAUUCCGCCGAGAGAGGUGAAAUUCUCAGACCAGCGGAAGACGAACCACUGCGAAAGCAUUUGCCAGGGAUGUUUUCACUGA